Molecule: ribosomal RNA, 465 nt
Filed under: uncultured bacterium
Lineage: Bacteria
Description: partial 16S ribosomal RNA
Rfam family: Bacterial small subunit ribosomal RNA
Source: RNAcentral
GACGAACGCUGGCGGCGUGCUUAACACAUGCAAGUCGAACGGAAAGGCCCUGCUUGCAGGGUACUCGAGUGGCGAACGGGUGAGUAACACGUGGGUGAUCUGCCCUGCACUUCGGGAUAAGCCUGGGAAACUGGGUCUAAUACCGGAUAGGAGCCAUUUUUAGUGUGAUGGUUGGAAAGUUUUUUCGGUGUAGGAUGAGCUCGCGGCCUAUCAGCUUGUUGGUGGGGUAAUGGCCUACCAAGGCGGCGACGGGUAGCCGGCCUGAGAGGGUGGACGGCCACAUUGGGACUGAGAUACGGCCCAGACUCCGACGGGAGGCAGCAGUGGGGAAGAUUGCACAAUGGGCGCAAGCCUGAUGCAGCGACGCCGCGUGGGGGAUGACGGCCUUCGGGUUGUAAAAUCCUUUCGCUAGGGACGAAGCUUUUUGUGACGGUACCUAGAUAAGAAGCACCGGCUAACUACGUG